This is a long non-coding RNA of Apodemus sylvaticus (European woodmouse), 1707 nucleotides long. RefSeq lists it as uncharacterized. The record is from RefSeq and is a predicted model, not a curated record. The transcript has 2 exons. NCBI's taxonomy places the organism in Eukaryota, Metazoa, Chordata, Mammalia, Rodentia, Muridae.
CUCCGCCCUCGGCUACCCACAGCCGCCAGUUCCCGCCUUCCUUCCGCGAUUUCAAAGCCAAAGCCUAGAGACGGAGCUCGCAGUCCUGCGGCCGAAGUUCCAGGGAUCGUCCCUUGACCACACAGACGCGGCGUGAGGGUCUCUCUAAGUCCGGACUUCCCAUCCUAAGAGAACGAUCCAGAAAAAUGCUCCUUGGUCCCCGGCUCGGAGACACCUGAAAACAAGGGAGGACUCACCAGUCAGCAAGACUCCCGGAUCCAAAUGGUUUUACAAUAAUCGGGAUGGUUUCCUGCAGAGAGCAUCCAUUCCAGUGUCCAUCAAACAGCUCACAAAGGCGUUGCCACCGUAUACCACAGCUGGGCAUCGAUAAAGAGAGAGAAAGAGACAGAGACCAGCAGAGAUCUUCAACUCCAUCAACGGGAGAGUGUGAAAACUGAACUCAGAAUGUGCUUGGUGUAAGUUUAAUGACCUGAGUCAGGUCCCACAUAUAAGCUGGAGACAGUUACACUGGCAUCUGUAAUCCCAGCAUUCGUGACAAAAUGGGAGGCAGAGGCAGGAGACUCUCUAGAAACUCAAGAAUCAACUGAUAUACACAGUUGUAUACACACACAGUGAGACACCACUCUGUAUACCAUGAGACACUGUCUCAGUCAAAAGCAAAGACUGAAACCCAAUGUUGCCUUCUGACAUCACACAUAGAGUGGCACAUAUACACUUAAACACAACACAUAUACCAUACAUGUGUCUGUGUGCAUAUUUAUAAUUAUUGUUAUUUAUUAUUUUCUUGUUUCUUACAUGAAGCAGAAUACAAAGGUUGGGCUCCUGUAACUCAUUAAAAAAAAGGGGGAUAUAUAGAGUCAUGGAUUUAGGAUCUCUCCCCUUACCUCCAAACUCAAAGGAUAGUCCCCAUUGAUGCUUUCUUAAUGUUAAUAAAGUUGAAUAUAAGAUGUCAUGGAUAUUGCCAUGGCAUCUAUAAAAUUGUAUAUAUUUAUAUGCUAAAUAAUAGAUUGGCAUAAUUUCUGUUUCUUGAGAGAAGAAAAAUAUCCCUUUUUAACCUAUAUGUAAAUUCCACAUGAUAUAUAAGAAACAUACAGAAUUAGUCUGAAAGGUUUGUAGACAAAGGUUUGAAUUUGGAAUUUCUGACAUUCCUGUUUAAAAGUCUCUGCCUCCCUUUUGUGACUUUUCACCUAUCAAAGGAAUCUGCCCAUCUGACCAUGUGUUCAUUGAAUGUAUAAAUAAUAACAAUGAUGACAAUAAUAGAGAUGGUAUCAGUCUUGUAUAGAGCAUCUCUGCCUAAGUGAAGAGGACCUCAUUGCAAUUAUGUGACAUGUCUGCCACCUUCCAAUGUGUAUCAAAAGUAGCAACAUCUUUGGAACUCAAUACAUAGAAGGAAGGUAUGCCCCCCUCAAGGACAGUUACAAAGCUAGAGAAAUGGCUAAGCAGUUAAGAGCACUGAAUGUUGUUCCAGAGGACCCAAGUUUGAUUCUCAGCACCCAUAGGGUGGCUUACAACCCACUGUAAUUCCAGUUCCAGACAGUCUGAUGCCCUUCCCCGGCCUCUGGAAGUACUACAUGCAUGUGGCACACAGACAUCCAGCCAGGCAAAACACCAAUACAAACAAAAUAAAAAGUUGCCAGGUAUGGAGGUACACACCUUAAAAACUAUUUUUAAAAUAUAAUAACUGCUAAAUAAAUAAUUCAAAAGAAA